RNAcentral lists this transfer RNA (91 nucleotides) under Candidatus Levyibacteriota bacterium. Its description in RNAcentral is "Candidatus Levybacteria bacterium tRNA-Ser". It matches the Rfam family "tRNA". From Rfam's summary of the family: Transfer RNA (tRNA) molecules are approximately 80 nucleotides in length. Their secondary structure includes four short double-helical elements and three loops (D, anti-codon, and T loops). Further hydrogen bonds mediate the characteristic L-shaped molecular structure. tRNAs have two regions of fundamental functional importance: the anti-codon, which is responsible for specific mRNA codon recognition, and the 3' end, to which the tRNAs corresponding amino acid is attached (by aminoacyl-tRNA synthetases). tRNAs cope with the degeneracy of the genetic code in two manners: having more than one tRNA (with a specific anti-codon) for a particular amino acid; and 'wobble' base-pairing, i.e. permitting non-standard base-pairing at the 3rd anti-codon position. The record is from RNAcentral. Lineage: Bacteria; Candidatus Levyibacteriota.
GGAGGAGUCGCAUAGAGGCCCAUUGCGAGGGGUUGCUAACCCCUUGAGCUAUAAAAGGCUCGCGUGAGUUCGAAUCUCACCUCCUCCGCCA